GAUUAAUAUUUUUGUGUUUUGAAAACACAAUUAGAGGUAAACUCAUUAAUUU
This 52-nucleotide transfer RNA is filed under the name Cucullanus robustus. RNAcentral describes it as "tRNA-Ser". The record is from RNAcentral. Lineage: Eukaryota; Metazoa; Nematoda; Chromadorea; Rhabditida; Cucullanidae.